This 40-nucleotide microRNA precursor is filed under the name Ciona intestinalis (vase tunicate). RNAcentral describes it as "microRNA cin-mir-4103 precursor". The record is from miRBase by way of RNAcentral. Lineage: Eukaryota; Metazoa; Chordata; Ascidiacea; Phlebobranchia; Cionidae.
ACCACGGGUCUGUGACGUAGCAGCGCUGCGGGUCCGCUGU